RNAcentral lists this ribosomal RNA (407 nucleotides) under uncultured cyanobacterium. RNAcentral's name for it is "bacterial SSU rRNA". It matches the Rfam family "Bacterial small subunit ribosomal RNA", at positions 355 to 776 of the family's 1533-position model. The record is from RNAcentral. Lineage: Bacteria; Bacillati; Cyanobacteriota.
UGAGGAAUUUUCCACAAUGGGCGAAAGCCUGAUGGAGCAAUGCCGCGUGGGGGAAGAAGGACUGUGGUUCGUAAACCUCUUUUCUUAGAGAAGAAACAAUGACGGUAUCUGAGGAAUAAGGACCGGCUAACUCUGUGCCAGCAGCCGCGGUAAUACAGAGGGUCCAAGCGCUAUCCGGAAUUAUUGGGCGUAAAGCGUCUGUAGGUGGUUUAAAAAGUCUACUGUCAAAUACCGAGGCUUAACCUCGGACAGGCAGUGGAGUACUUUUAGACUUGAGUGCGGUAGAGGUAGAGGGAAUCCCUAGCGUAACAGUGAAAUGUGUAGAUUUUAGGGGGAACACCAGCGGCGAAGGCGCUCUACUGGGCCGAGACUGACACUGAGAGACGAAAGCUAAGGGAGCGAAUAGG